This 615-nucleotide ribosomal RNA is filed under the name uncultured bacterium. RNAcentral's name for it is "bacterial SSU rRNA". It matches the Rfam family "Bacterial small subunit ribosomal RNA", at positions 338 to 946 of the family's 1533-position model. The record is from RNAcentral.
CCUACGGGAGGCAGCAGUGGGGAAUUUUGGACAAUGGGCGAAAGCCUGAUCCAGCCAUGCCGCGUGCAGGAUGAAGGCCUUCGGGUUGUAAACUGCUUUUGUACGGAACGAAAAGGUCUUUUCUAAUAAAGAAGGCUCAUGACGGUACCGUAAGAAUAAGCACCGGCUAACUACGUGCCAGCAGCCGCGGUAAUACGUAGGGUGCGAGCGUUAAUCGGAAUUACUGGGCGUAAAGCGUGCGCAGGCGGUUAUAUAAGACAGUUGUGAAAUCCCCGGGCUCAACCUGGGAACUGCAUCUGUGACUGUAUAGCUAGGGUACGGUAGAGGGGGAUGGAAUUCCGCGUGUAGCAGUGAAAUGCGUAGAUAUGCGGAGGAACACCGAUGGCGAAGGCAAUCCCCUGGACCUGUACUGACGCUCAUGCACGAAAGCGUGGGGAGCAAACAGGAUUAGAUACCCUGGUAGUCCACGCCCUAAACGAUGUCAACUGGUUGUUGGGUCUUCACUGACUCAGUAACGAAGCUAACGCGUGAAGUUGACCGCCUGGGGAGUACGGCCGCAAGGUUGAAACUUAAAGGAAUUGACGGCNGAGAGNGCGAGACGACGACGAGGAGAGG